AUUGGCCUACGGGACGCAGCAGUGAGGAAUAUUGGUCAAUGGCCGGAAGGCUGAACCAGCCAAGCCGCGUGAAGGACGAAGGUGCCAAGCAUUGUAAACUUCUUUUGUCAAGGGACAAAAUCAGGCUCGAGAGCCUGACCGAGGGUACUUGAAGAAAAAGCAUCGGCUAACUCCGUGCCAGCAGCCGCGGUAAUACGGAGGAUGCGAGCGUUAUCCGGAUUUAUUGGGUUUAAAGGGUGCGUAGGCGGACUGUUAAGUCAGCGGUAAAAGCCCGGGGCUCAACCUCGCUCCGCCGUUGAAACUGG
RNAcentral lists this ribosomal RNA (305 nucleotides) under uncultured bacterium. RNAcentral's name for it is "bacterial SSU rRNA". It matches the Rfam family "Bacterial small subunit ribosomal RNA", at positions 333 to 636 of the family's 1533-position model. The record is from RNAcentral.